RNAcentral lists this ribosomal RNA (440 nucleotides) under uncultured bacterium. Its description in RNAcentral is "partial 16S ribosomal RNA". It matches the Rfam family "Bacterial small subunit ribosomal RNA", at positions 338 to 795 of the family's 1533-position model. The record is from RNAcentral.
CCUACGGGAGGCAGCAGUGGGGAAUAUUGCACAAUGGGGGAAACCCUGAUGCAGCGACGCCGCGUGAGUGAAGAAGUACUUCGGUAUGUAAAGCCCUAUCAGCAGGGAAGAAAAUGACGGUACCUGAUGAAGAAGCCCCGGCUAACUACGUGCCAGCAGCCGCGGUAAUACGUAGGGGGCAAGCGUUAUCCGGAUUUACUGGGUGUAAAGGGGGCGUAGACGGCAGUGCAAGUCUGGAGUGAAAUGCCGGGGCUUAACCCCGGGACUGCUUUGGAAACUGUGCGGCUGGAGUGCAGGAGAGGUAAGUGGAAUUCCUGGUGUAGCGGUGAAAUGCGUAGAUAUUAGGAGGAACACCAGUGGCGAAGGCGGCUUGCUGGACUGUAACUGACGUUGAGGCUCGAAAGCGUGGGGAGCAAACAGGAUUAGAUACCCCUGUAGUC